ACAGAGGUCCCAAGCGUUGUUCGGAUUUACUGGGCGUAAAGGGUGCGUAGGUGGCGGGGUAAGUCGGAUGUGAAAUCUCCAGGCUCAACCUGGAAAUGGCAUUGGAAACUACCUUGCUGGAGAGUUGGAGGGGGGACUGGAAUACUUGGUGUAGCAGUGAAAUGCGUAGAUAUCAAGUGGAACACCAGUGGCGAAGGCGAGUCCCUGGACAACUUCUGACGCUGAGGCACGAAAGCUAGGGGAGCAAACAGGA
Molecule: ribosomal RNA, 253 nt
Filed under: uncultured prokaryote
Description: partial 16S ribosomal RNA
Rfam family: Bacterial small subunit ribosomal RNA
Source: RNAcentral